This 218-nucleotide long non-coding RNA is filed under the name Musa acuminata (dwarf banana). RNAcentral's name for it is "long non-coding RNA (MACU_LNC007672)". The record is from RNAcentral. Lineage: Eukaryota; Viridiplantae; Streptophyta; Magnoliopsida; Zingiberales; Musaceae.
CGGGCUCUAAGCACAUACCCUUUACCAUUUCUAGCAAAGGUCCAAAUAAUCCCACAAACACCAAAGUAUAAAAGGGUAUUGUGAACAAUAAAUUGGGACAUAUCAGAAGCACAUGCGGAACAACGAAAUGUACAUGUGCCUUUCUGAGUCAAUACGAUGCAAACAUAAUCCUUCACAAAUGUAUUUAGAUUUGAAAGGAAAUGAAAGCAAAAGUGUAC